ACUCAACACUAUACAAUUCAAAAGGGUGAGUCUAAACUAGUAAAGCGUGCCGUCUUUGAGCGGAUACUUGAUCAGUUUGUUAACCCUAAACUUGUUUCUUGGAGUUU
This 107-nucleotide small RNA is filed under the name Flavobacteriaceae bacterium. RNAcentral describes it as "6S RNA". It matches the Rfam family "6S-Flavo RNA". The record is from RNAcentral. Lineage: Bacteria; Pseudomonadati; Bacteroidota; Flavobacteriia; Flavobacteriales; Flavobacteriaceae.